UCUUAGGUAGUAUAGUGGUUAGUAUUCGCGCCUGUCAAGGCUUGAAACCGGGAUUCAAUUCCCCGCCUGAGAG
Transfer RNA from Sphaerobolus stellatus SS14, 73 nucleotides. It matches the Rfam family "tRNA". From Rfam's summary of the family: Transfer RNA (tRNA) molecules are approximately 80 nucleotides in length. Their secondary structure includes four short double-helical elements and three loops (D, anti-codon, and T loops). Further hydrogen bonds mediate the characteristic L-shaped molecular structure. tRNAs have two regions of fundamental functional importance: the anti-codon, which is responsible for specific mRNA codon recognition, and the 3' end, to which the tRNAs corresponding amino acid is attached (by aminoacyl-tRNA synthetases). tRNAs cope with the degeneracy of the genetic code in two manners: having more than one tRNA (with a specific anti-codon) for a particular amino acid; and 'wobble' base-pairing, i.e. permitting non-standard base-pairing at the 3rd anti-codon position. Lineage: Eukaryota; Fungi; Basidiomycota; Agaricomycetes; Geastrales; Sphaerobolaceae. The record is from Rfam.